RNAcentral lists this ribosomal RNA (473 nucleotides) under uncultured bacterium. RNAcentral's name for it is "bacterial SSU rRNA". It matches the Rfam family "Bacterial small subunit ribosomal RNA", at positions 335 to 799 of the family's 1533-position model. The record is from RNAcentral.
ACUCCCACGGGAGGCAGCAGUAGGGAAUCUUCCACAAUGGGCGCAAGCCUGAUGGAGCAACACCGCGUGAGUGAAGAAGGGUUUCGGCUCGUAAAGCUCUGUUGUUAAAGAAGAACACGUAUGAGAGUAACUGUUCAUACGUUGACGGUAUUUAACCAGAAAGUCACGGCUAACUACGUGCCAGCAGCCGCGGUAAUACGUAGGUGGCAAGCGUUAUCCGGAUUUAUUGGGCGUAAAGAGAGUGCAGGCGGUUUUCUAAGUCUGAUGUGAAAGCCUUCGGCUUAACCGGAGAAGUGCAUCGGAAACUGGAUAACUUGAGUGCAGAAGAGGGUAGUGGAACUCCAUGUGUAGCGGUGGAAUGCGUAGAUAUAUGGAAGAACACCAGUGGCGAAGGCGGCUACCUGGUCUGCAACUGACGCUGAGACUCGAAAGCAUGGGUAGCGAACAGGAUUAGAUACCCUGGUAGCGUCGUC